This 345-nucleotide ribosomal RNA is filed under the name Staphylococcus aureus. Its description in RNAcentral is "partial 23S ribosomal RNA". It matches the Rfam family "Bacterial large subunit ribosomal RNA", at positions 1718 to 2062 of the family's 2925-position model. The record is from RNAcentral. Lineage: Bacteria; Bacillati; Bacillota; Bacilli; Caryophanales; Staphylococcaceae.
CAAAAUGACCCCGUAACUUCGGGAGAAGGGGUGCUCUUUAGGGUUAACGCCCAGAAGAGCCGCAGUGAAUAGGCCCAAGCGACUGUUUAUCAAAAACACAGGUCUCUGCUAAACCGUAAGGUGAUGUAUAGGGGCUGACGCCUGCCCGGUGCUGGAAGGUUAAGAGGAGUGGUUAGCUUCUGCGAAGCUACGAAUCGAAGCCCCAGUAAACGGCGGCCGUAACUAUAACGGUCCUAAGGUAGCGAAAUUCCUUGUCGGGUAAGUUCCGACCCGCACGAAAGGCGUAACGAUUUGGGCACUGUCUCAACGAGAGACUCGGUGAAAUCAUAGUACCUGUGAAGAUGC